Molecule: long non-coding RNA, 1626 nt
Organism: Oreochromis aureus
Lineage: Eukaryota; Metazoa; Chordata; Actinopteri; Cichliformes; Cichlidae
Source: Ensembl
CAACUAUUACACUGGGUGCGAGUCUCCCUGAGUCUCGACCGUGUACACGUAAACCUGUCUGAGCCUUUUUAUUCCGACCUGGGUUGCAAUACAGGAAAACUCCUGACAUAGCGCACUGCAGGAGAUCAGCUAUUUGACAACAACCACUGCAACCCAACUAGAACAACACCCAGCAAUGCUGCAAGAAUUUCCAAGUAUAGCAUUUCGCCUUUCACAACGCUGCAGCAGCUUCUGAUGAAUUUUCAAAUUGAACAAGGGAUGAGAAAAAGAAUACAGAUCUGGAAUUAAUGGACUUUUUCCCCACACUACCACACCCCGAAGAUGGGCUUCUGGACAUACACAAACUGGUUUGGCAGAAUUAAUGUCACUUUCCACCUGAUUUAUAAUCCAGUCUGCAUAUGAUGUGGUUCUGUUGGUUUCAUCAGGUGGCAGCCUCCAGCUCACACUGAAGUUUUCACAGCCAAGUGUGAAUUGGAGGGAAUGAGAAUCACCGCCUCCAAUUCUGAGGCCAUGAUCAUCAGCCAGAAAAGAGCGGAGUCCCCACUCCGGGUCAGGGAUGAGUUGCCCCAAGUGAAGGGAUUGAAAUAUCUCGGGGUCUUGAUCACGAGUGAGGGGGGAGAGCAGGGGAUCGACAGACAGAUUGGUGCUGCUGUGCUGCGAUGAGAGAGCUGAGCGUAAAAGCGAAAACUCUCGAUUUACUGGUCUAUCUAUGUCCCUCCCCUCACCUAUGGUCACGAGCUUUGGGUAAUGACCAAAAGAACGAGAUUGCGGUUAUAAGCGGUUGAAAUGAGGUUUCUCCAAUGAGUGGCUGGCCUCUCGCUUAGAGCUGGGAUAAGAAGUUCGGCCAUCCAGGAGGAGCUCAGAGUAGAACCACUACUUCUCCACAUCGAAAGGAGCCAGUUGAGGUGGUUAGGGCAUCUGACAGGGAUGCCUCCUGGGUGAGGUGUCGGGUGAGGUGAGGUCUGUGCUUCUCUGCUUAGGCAGCUGCCCUGAGACCCAUCCCCAGAUAAACAGAGGAAAAUGGAUGGAUGGAUGGAUGGAUGGAUGGAUGGAUGGAUGGAUGGAUGGAUGGAUGGAUGGAUGGAUGGGCAAUAGAUAAAAAAGUAAGACAAGCUACAGAGAGUCUUAAGAAACUACACAAACUGCAAGGGCAGUGUAAUGUGCAUAUUGGUAUAUGACCUGAAUGCUAUAACACUGGGUUAUUUCACAGUGUUUGUCAGAGUGACAGCCUGGGGGAAGAAACUGUCUUCUCUGUGGCAGCUGGUUUGAGUAAGCAGUGCUGUAUAGUGCCUGCCUGUAGGUAGUAGUUUAAACUGUUUAUAUCUGGGAUGUAAGGGGUCUGCAUACAUAUUUUCUGCUCGUUUUCUAACCCUGGCUAUGUACAGGUCUUGAAUAGGGGGAAGCUCGGCACUGAUGAAACUCUCUGCUGACCUUCUUAUCCUUUGCAGUCUGGCCUGUCCUGCUUGGUGGCUGAGCCGAACCAGACAGUGAUUGAUGUGCACAGCACAGACUGGAUGAUGUGAGUGUGGAAGAUAGUAUACAUAUGGUAUAGUAUAUGUGAAUUGGUCAAUCUAACAUGUAAGUAUUAUGAAAAUAGCAUUUUGUUUAUUUUGUGACUAUCAGCGC